This is a long non-coding RNA of Oncorhynchus nerka (sockeye salmon), 2085 nucleotides long. RefSeq lists it as uncharacterized. The record is from RefSeq and is a predicted model, not a curated record. NCBI's taxonomy places the organism in Eukaryota, Metazoa, Chordata, Actinopteri, Salmoniformes, Salmonidae. The transcript is spliced from 2 exons.
ACGACGACGAAAAACAUCAACAACACGGACAUAGAACUGAGAGGAAGGAGGGAGUUUGUUUUGAUUUUGAACAUUCUUUCCUCGUGGACGAAGCCAAACACCAAGAGGGUGAAUAACCACAAAACAUGUCUAAAUUACUGUAUUUGAAUGCGUUUCUUUCUGAGCGUUUAACGGAUGUUUGGGGCAGUUUAGAAAGUGGUAGUUGAGUACCAGAUCUCCCGAUCUAAACAGGAGAAUGAUUGGCUACGAAGACUGCUAGUAUGGAUCACACCGGAGAUAAAACGAUGUACAUUAGGUUCGUUGCUAUACUCCCAGCAGCUCUCUCACCCCGUCUCUGAAGGGGAGGUUGGCCCUGAGCAGCAGCACUGUGGGUCCUCCAGUCUGAGGCAGGAGGAACCAGAGCCCACACAGAUUAAAGAGGCACAGGAGGAACUCAAGACCAGCCCUGAGGAAGUGCAACUUCAAGGGCAAGAGGCUAAUACGAAAUAGUUAAUUUCUUGCUGUUUGAAAAGUGAGUUGAGAUGAAGAGGACCCAUUUCAGUCCUUGUUUCUUCCCAAAACUCUGACUGUGGAGAACAGAGAGAGUGACUCAAAACUAGUGGAUCGAAAAUAUUUUGGCACUGUUACCCAGCUAAAGUGUUUCGACAUUCCCUCCAGAUAAUCAAAACAAUGCCUCCAGCUACAGCUCAGCCGUAAGCAGCAACUCAGUACGACUUUACAGCAGCGCACCAUUGGAUCCCGACCCACCAGUGGGAGAACACUGUUCAGAAUAUAGCACCACGUCUAAUAAAUCUCACUGCUGCUGUGACUGUGGCGGAGCAUUUGCUCUGAAAGCUGGCCUACAUAGACACGUCACUCUUGCAAGGGAGAGACCCAGCGAAUGCCCCAUCUGCAAAAACUGCUAUAAUUUCACCUGUCAACUGAAGGCCCAUGUCCAACUCUGUCAGCCUGCAAAAACCUGCCGUGCUACAGCUCUUCAGUACAACUAAGAAGAGAAUGUACAUCAACUACCUCCGAACACAGCAGUGCUGGCCAAAACUAAACGCCGGGCACUGGUUGGACCACAUCUAAUCAUGCCAAAGAUACCUGCACAGAGGCAGCUAUUCACCAAAGCACCAGCUGUCUGUAGCACCAGUGGUGGUCUGGUUGUUCAAGUCCCAUCUGUCUCUGGACAGUACUUCAUGCAAUUUGUUCCCCAGGUGACGUUACAGACAGCACCCACUGUUACUAUAACAGCUUCAUCCGUGACCAUACCCACCCACAAAAUGGGCCGUGCCUACAAAAGAAAGGUCAGUAGCAACACAUGCCAAAAAUGUGGGCAGUUGAGAACCAAGCAGACUGGGCACAGCCAAUGUAAAGGGGCGGCAGGUAGCCUAUUGGUUAGAGCAUUGGACUAGUAACUGAAAGGCUGCAAGAUCGAAUCCCCGAGCUGACAAGGUAAAAAUCUGUCGUGCUGCCCCUGAACAAGUCAGUUAACCCACUGUUCCUAGGCCGUCAUUGAAAAUAAGAAGUUCUUCUUAACUGACUUGCCUUGUUAAAUAAAGGUAAAAUAUAUAUAUAUAUAUUUUUAAAGGGACUGUUUACUGCCCACAAGCAGACUUUCUCCAAAGAGUGGCUGGAGACAAUGUGCAGGUAGCAGCAGUGAAUAACUCUAUUUAUGUAAUUUAUUUGUUUUCUCAUAACAUUAGCACAUAUGUUUAAACUUUUUUUUAAACCUUUUGUAUUGUCCGUGUCUCUUUUUAUUGUAGCCUAUUGCUGUGUUUUGGCAACUUGGCCAGGCAUUUUUUGCAAAUGAGAACUGGGUCCGGGAGAUAAAUCAUUAAGCUGUGGUGACUGCAGAUAAAGCUUCAAUCAGAAUGGGAACCUAACCCAACAUAUACGGACUCACACAAGAGAAAAACCAUUUAGCUGUGGUGACUGCUGAAAACGCUUCAAUCACAAGGGGCAUCUGACGAUACUGACUCACACAACAUUAGCCAAUGAACAAUUCCUGGUCGAAUGUUUUGGAAUGUCUCUCCGGGUGAUGAGAAAAUGGUCAGACUGAUGUUAUUGAUAACAUUAAAGAAUAUUAUAUACAUUGGGGAA